This 73-nucleotide transfer RNA is filed under the name Mus musculus (house mouse). It matches the Rfam family "tRNA". From Rfam's summary of the family: Transfer RNA (tRNA) molecules are approximately 80 nucleotides in length. The record is from Rfam by way of RNAcentral. Lineage: Eukaryota; Metazoa; Chordata; Mammalia; Rodentia; Muridae.
GGGGUUGUAGCUCAGCAAGCAGGGUGCUUGCCUGUCGUGCGUGAGGAUCUAGGUUCGAUCCCCAGCACUUCCU